Molecule: unclassified non-coding RNA, 258 nt
Filed under: Hevea brasiliensis (rubber tree)
Lineage: Eukaryota; Viridiplantae; Streptophyta; Magnoliopsida; Malpighiales; Euphorbiaceae
Source: RNAcentral
AGUUAAGAUUGUUUUUACUAAGAAUAGUUCAAAAUUUCUUGGGUUUUUUCCAUGCUUGUCCAUCAAUCUAUCUAUGUGUAUAUACUAACAAGAUAAGUUUGGUCUUAUUCAUUGUUUCGCAUAAUGUGCAAGUGAAUGGAAUAUUGGAUGCAAAUGCUCAAGGAGGAAAGUUUAGUUACAAUUUUGGCUAUCAAGACUUUUCAAUUUGUUGGACUAUUGUUUAAUGUGCUCUUGUCACUUAUCUAACUUGUGAAAAUU